RNAcentral lists this RNase P RNA (218 nucleotides) under Muribaculaceae bacterium. RNAcentral describes it as "partial RNase P RNA component class A". It matches the Rfam family "Bacterial RNase P class A", at positions 165 to 367 of the family's 367-position model. From Rfam's summary of the family: Ribonuclease P (RNase P) is a ubiquitous endoribonuclease, found in archaea, bacteria and eukarya as well as chloroplasts and mitochondria. Its best characterised activity is the generation of mature 5'-ends of tRNAs by cleaving the 5'-leader elements of precursor-tRNAs. The record is from RNAcentral. Lineage: Bacteria; Pseudomonadati; Bacteroidota; Bacteroidia; Bacteroidales; Muribaculaceae.
GGGUAAGAGCCCACCGGAUGCCGUGGCGACACGGCAUGCCGCACAUCCUAUGGGUUGCAAGGCCAAAUACACCGGCAGCAAAGGAUUGCUCGUCCAUUGCCGGGGGGUAGGCUGCUCGACGCAAGUCGGAGCCGGCUGGCGACAGCCGGUCAAGAUAAAUGACAGACAGGAGCCCCGCGGGGUUCCCACAUAACCCGGCUUACAUCCCUUCUGCAUCU